AUGUCAAUUGAAAAAUUAAAUUGUAGUAAACUUAAUACACACAGACACGUUACUCAAAGUAAUACUUUAUUUUUUACUAAAGUAUUUUAUUUUUUUGAAAGUUCCGUGUUAACGUUCAAAGAAUAGAGGGUAUCACGAAGGCUUAGAGGCCGGUUAAGAAGACGGUGCUUUAUCAUGUGCUCCUACAUAAAUACUAACCAUGAAAUGCACGAGGUGAAAACGAAAAGUAUCGACUCACCCUGAAGAUGAAGGACAUCCUCGCCCUGCUCGGGAAAGCGAUGGACGCCAGUUGGUGAAAAGCCAGGAAGUAGUUGAAGAGGAAGACGAUACUCGGUAUGUAGGGUAUGAACGCUCCCGAAUUCGAACGCCAACAUUUCAAUCCCCAUAUGCCUCCCAUGCCUCCUCGGAUCCUCUUUAUCAUCCCGUAUCCCACUUAAACCUCAUAAUUUUGAACUUAUCUCAAUUUUGCAGAAAGAAAUUUCAAACAGCUGACGGGAAAUAUAGUCUAUUUUUUACCAUGAAUUUUCUAAUGAUUUGUUAGUUGUUGUUUUUUUUUCUACUAAAUACUACAAGUACUAAACAGGUUUAUCUAAACAUCCGUGUGAACAGAAAGGAACCACGUGUCGAAAACGACAGCGGCCACGUUUUCUCUAUAUCUGUCAAAGAAACCGUGCAUUUGAUUCUGUGACUAUGUCGUGUAACGGAAACUCCAUUGAUCACUAGUCAAAUACAACACAGAUCUGAUAAAAAUCAUUCAGAAGGUUGGUCAG
Cimex lectularius (bed bug) is the source of this 770-nucleotide long non-coding RNA. RefSeq lists it as uncharacterized. NCBI's taxonomy places the organism in Eukaryota, Metazoa, Arthropoda, Insecta, Hemiptera, Cimicidae. The transcript is spliced from 3 exons. The record is from RefSeq and is a predicted model, not a curated record.